Molecule: non-coding RNA, 340 nt
Organism: Pseudonaja textilis
Lineage: Eukaryota; Metazoa; Chordata; Lepidosauria; Squamata; Elapidae
Source: RefSeq, a predicted model, not a curated record
UUUAAAAGGGGGAAGAUUCAAAACUUCACUUAAGUUUUAGGUUUUAUGCUAAACAUACUUUAAUUAGUGCCAUUGAAUCCCACUUCUAGACAAAUAAAAUGGUUUGCCUUCUUCCUAGGGUUGAGAGAGCAUGAGUGGCCCAAAGUCAUCCAGCUAGCUUCCGUGCCAAUGGCAGGAGUAAAACUUUGCUUACAUUCUACUAGCCUAGCACAUUAAUUACUAGACCAAAACUGGCUCUUUUGCUUUCUUACUUUGGAUAUAAACUAAAGUGCAUUCAGUGGAAUGUGGAACUUGUUUAGAGCUACAACCUUUCUUUAUAGAUAAAGAAAGCAAAACAAUU